Molecule: non-coding RNA, 85 nt
Organism: Epithele typhae
Lineage: Eukaryota; Fungi; Basidiomycota; Agaricomycetes; Polyporales; Epitheliaceae
Source: the annotation of a RefSeq genome assembly
GCCCUAAUGGUCUAGUGGUAAGAUACGUGCUUUGGGUGUUGUCACGCUGUGCACGGGAUCCCAGGUUCGAACCCUGGUUGGGGCC